RNAcentral lists this transfer RNA (58 nucleotides) under Dipodomys ordii (Ord's kangaroo rat). It matches the Rfam family "tRNA", at positions 8 to 63 of the family's 71-position model. Rfam says of the family: Transfer RNA (tRNA) molecules are approximately 80 nucleotides in length. Their secondary structure includes four short double-helical elements and three loops (D, anti-codon, and T loops). Further hydrogen bonds mediate the characteristic L-shaped molecular structure. tRNAs have two regions of fundamental functional importance: the anti-codon, which is responsible for specific mRNA codon recognition, and the 3' end, to which the tRNAs corresponding amino acid is attached (by aminoacyl-tRNA synthetases). tRNAs cope with the degeneracy of the genetic code in two manners: having more than one tRNA (with a specific anti-codon) for a particular amino acid; and 'wobble' base-pairing, i.e. permitting non-standard base-pairing at the 3rd anti-codon position. The record is from Rfam by way of RNAcentral. Lineage: Eukaryota; Metazoa; Chordata; Mammalia; Rodentia; Heteromyidae.
UGGCUCAGUGGUAGAGCGCUUGCCUUGCAUGCAUGAGGUCCUGGGUUCGAUUCUUCAG